RNAcentral lists this ribosomal RNA (468 nucleotides) under uncultured bacterium. Its description in RNAcentral is "partial 16S ribosomal RNA". It matches the Rfam family "Bacterial small subunit ribosomal RNA", at positions 28 to 507 of the family's 1533-position model. The record is from RNAcentral.
GAUGAACGCUGGCGGCGUGCUUAACACAUGCAAGUCGAACGGUGAAGGCGGAGCUUGCUCUGCUGGAUCAGUGGCGAACGGGUGAGUAACACGUGAGCAAUCUGCCCCUGACUCUGGGAUAAGCGCUGGAAACGGCGUCUAAUACUGGAUACGAGCUGCGAAGGCAUCUUCAGCAGCUGGAAAGAAUUUCGGUCAGGGAUGAGCUCGCGGCCUAUCAGCUUGUUGGUGAGGUAAUGGCUCACCAAGGCGUCGACGGGUAGCCGGCCUGAGAGGGUGACCGGCCACACUGGGACUGAGACACGGCCCAGACUCCUACGGGAGGCAGCAGUGGGGAAUAUUGCACAAUGGGCGAAAGCCUGAUGCAGCAACGCCGCGUGAGGGACGACGGCCUUCGGGUUGUAAACCUCUUUUAGCAGGGAAGAAGCGAAAGUGACGGUACCUGCAGAAAAAGCGCCGGCUAACUACGCG